AUUAAGUGAAAAUUACACCAAACCAUACUUUAAAAAUUCAACGUCCUAAAAUUAGGUUAGAAAUUUCACAAUUCAAAAAUUAAUUUUUUUAUAUUAAUUAUUUAAAUAAACUAAUAAAAUUAGGAAAAUAUCAAAACCCUUCUCACUAACCAUCAAACCUGUAACUCUCCUUCGCUCUCCCUCCCUCCCUUCUCUUCAUCUCUUCGGUGCCAUCGAACAACUGUCGUUUCACGCACUUGGACGGCCCCGAGACAUAGAUGCUCCAACCAUCCAAUCCUCGUUGCAAGACUAUGCUUCGCGUCGGUAUUGGUGGAUCUAUAGCGAGGUGAGGAUGGUUUUGGUUUUAGAAUGUUGGUGGAUUGGUGUCAGUAUUGAUUUUGGAAGUUUCUAAAAUCAUCGUUGCUGGUAUGGUGGUUUGGGUGUGGUGUUGGUUGGCAGUGAUGGUGGAGAGCUGAUGGUGGUGGCAGCAGUGUGGAUUUGCGACGAGGUAAGGAUGGUUUUAGCUUUAGAAUGUUGGUAGAUCUACGUCGGUAUCGAUUUUGGAAGUCUUUAAAAUCAUCUCUGCUAGUGUGGUGGUUUUGGGUAUGAUGUUGGUUGAAAAUGGUGGAAGUAAUGAUGGCAGUGAUGGUAGAGAUCUAAUUUGUUGGUGAAGAGAUGAUGGUGGCAGCGCGGGUUGUGUUGGUGGUGGUAUAGUGGUGGGAUGGAGACGUGGCAACAGUGAGGUGGUGUGAUGAUGGCUGGUGAUCGUAGCAAUGGUUGCUUGUGACCAUUAAAUUUGUUAAUAUGUGAUCGAUAAAUAAUAUGUGACCAAAAAAUAAUAUGAGAUCUAAAAAAUUGUUCAUCUACGACGGAUAAUUUGAUAAUUUGUGACUAUAUAAUAAGUUGUGACCUGUAAUAAUUGAGAUUUGUGAUUAAUAAAUAAAUCAUGACUUAUAAAUUUUUCGAUUUGUGACUGAUGAACAAACUGUGACCUAUAAAAUUUUUGAAUUUUGAUCGUAAAAUAAUUUGUGACAUAAAAAUUUUGAUUUGAGAUCAAAAAAUAAUAAGGGUGAAUUUAAUUGUAAAUUUGUCACCAAAUUAUAUAGAUAUG
RNAcentral lists this long non-coding RNA (1090 nucleotides) under Olea europaea (common olive). RNAcentral's name for it is "long non-coding RNA (OEUR_LNC007184)". Lineage: Eukaryota; Viridiplantae; Streptophyta; Magnoliopsida; Lamiales; Oleaceae. The record is from RNAcentral.